RNAcentral lists this ribosomal RNA (1522 nucleotides) under metagenome. Its description in RNAcentral is "bacterial SSU rRNA". It matches the Rfam family "Bacterial small subunit ribosomal RNA". The record is from RNAcentral.
AGAGUUUGAUCAUGGCUCAGAUUGAACACUGGCGGCAGGCCUAACACAUGCAAGUCGAACGGUAACAGGAAACAGCUUGCUGUUUCGCUGACGAGUGGCGGACGGGUGAGUAAUGUCUGGGAAACUGCCUGAUGGAGGGGGAUAACUACUGGAAACGGUAGCUAAUACCGCAUAACGUCGCAAGACCAAAGAGGGGGACCUUCGGGCCUCUUGCCAUCAGAUGUGCCCAGAUGGGAUUAGCUAGUAGGUGGGGUAACGGCUCACCUAGGCGACGAUCCCUAGCUGGUCUGAGAGGAUGACCAGCCACACUGGAACUGAGACACGGUCCAGACUCCUACGGGAGGCAGCAGUGGGGAAUAUUGCACAAUGGGCGCAAGCCUGAUGCAGCCAUGCCGCGUGUAUGAAGAAGGCCUUCGGGUUGUAAAGUACUUUCAGCGGGGAGGAAGGGAGUAAAGUUAAUACCUUUGCUCAUUGACGUUACCCGCAGAAGAAGCACCGGCUAACUCCGUGCCAGCAGCCGCGGUAAUACGGAGGGUGCAAGCGUUAAUCGGAAUUACUGGGCGUAAAGCGCACGCAGGCGGUUUGUUAAGUCAGAUGUGAAAUCCCCGGGCUCAACCUGGGAACUGCAUCUGAUACUGGCAAGCUUGAGUCUCGUAGAGGGGGGUAGAAUUCCAGGUGUAGCGGUGAAAUGCGUAGAGAUCUGGAGGAAUACCGGUGGCGAAGGCGGCCCCCUGGACGAAGACUGACGCUCAGGUGCGAAAGCGUGGGGAGCAAACAGGAUUAGAUACCCUGGUAGUCCACGCCGUAAACGAUGUCGACUUGGAGGUUGUGCCCUUGAGGCGUGGCUUCCGGAGCUAACGCGUUAAGUCGACCGCCUGGGGAGUACGGCCGCAAGGUUAAAACUCAAAUGAAUUGACGGGGGCCCGCACAAGCGGUGGAGCAUGUGGUUUAAUUCGAUGCAACGCGAAGAACCUUACCUGGUCUUGACAUCCACGGAAGUUUUCAGAGAUGAGAAUGUGCCUUCGGGAACCGUGAGACAGGUGCUGCAUGGCUGUCGUCAGCUCGUGUUGUGAAAUGUUGGGUUAAGUCCCGCAACGAGCGCAACCCUUAUCCUUUGUUGCCAGCGGUCCGGCCGGGAACUCAAAGGAGACUGCCAGUGAUAAACUGGAGGAAGGUGGGGAUGACGUCAAGUCAUCAUGGCCCUUACGACCAGGGCUACACACGUGCUACAAUGGCGCAUACAAAGAGAAGCGACCUCGCGAGAGCAAGCGGACCUCAUAAAGUGCGUCGUAGUCCGGAUUGGAGUCUGCAACUCGACUCCAUGAAGUCGGAAUCGCUAGUAAUCGUGGAUCAGAAUGCCACGGUGAAUACGUUCCCGGGCCUUGUACACACCGCCCGUCACACCAUGGGAGUGGGUUGCAAAAGAAGUGGGUAGCUUAACCUUCGAGAGGGCGCUUACCACUUUGUGAUUCAUGACUGGGGUGAAGUCGUAACAAGGUAACCGUAGGGGAACCUGCGGUUG